RNAcentral lists this ribosomal RNA (468 nucleotides) under uncultured bacterium. Its description in RNAcentral is "partial 16S ribosomal RNA". It matches the Rfam family "Bacterial small subunit ribosomal RNA", at positions 28 to 507 of the family's 1533-position model. The record is from RNAcentral.
GACGAACGCUGGCGGCGUGCUUAACACAUGCAAGUCGAACGGAAAGGCCCUGCUUUUGUGGGGUGCUCGAGUGGCGAACGGGUGAGUAACACGUGAGUAACCUGCCCUUGACUUUGGGAUAACUUCAGGAAACUGGGGCUAAUACCGGAUAGGAGCUCCUGCUGCAUGGUGGGGGUUGGAAAGUUUCGGCGGUUGGGGAUGGACUCGCGGCUUAUCAGCUUGUUGGUGGGGUAGUGGCUUACCAAGGCUUUGACGGGUAGCCGGCCUGAGAGGGUGACCGGCCACAUUGGGACUGAGAUACGGCCCAGACUCCUACGGGAGGCAGCAGUGAGGAAUAUUGCACAAUGGGCGGAAGCCUGAUGCAGCAACGCCGCGUGCGGGAUGACGGCCUUCGGGUUGUAAACCGCUUUCGCCUGUGACGAAGCGUGAGUGACGGUAAUGGGUAAAGAGGCACCGGCUAACUACGUG